Molecule: long non-coding RNA, 698 nt
Filed under: Nicotiana benthamiana
Lineage: Eukaryota; Viridiplantae; Streptophyta; Magnoliopsida; Solanales; Solanaceae
Description: long non-coding RNA (NBEN_LNC030949)
Source: RNAcentral
UCGAACCCUAUGUAGGUUACCUACGUAUCAUGACCCCGCAUGAAGCAGAUCUUUAUGUAGUUCUGCAAGAUCAUGCAUAAAAUAAGCAAACUGACAUUCUCUUUUUCUUUCCUUUUUUUUUUCUUUUCUUUUCGUAUUGUUUGUUGUUUUUUUAGAGUACAAAAUCAGAAUAUAAAUUUACUGUCUUUAAAAUUCAAGUUACAAAAGUACUAUUACUUUGCAAAUCAAAACAAAAAAAAAGUACUAUUACUUGCAACUAAACUUCAAUAAUCAAGUACAAAAAGAACAAACAGUUGCCUUUUGAUGGAUCUCAACAUGUACUGAGAACGGAGCUCAUAGGGGACAAGGAGGGAUUUUUGUUGCUUUAUUUGUUAGAAAGGGACCGAACACUCCAGCCAAGCACAACAGAGUGUUGAAAACACUUUACGAGCUAUUCAAAUAAAAGAACAAAUCGUUUCUUCCUCUUCAAAACUUUCGGUUUGUUCUUGCAGUCCUAGUUUAUACUUCUUCCAAACAGGCAAUUCACAAAUGAUAAAAUCCUAGAGACAAUACCGGGGAUACUUGGUACUUGAACACACCUCCUUAGUGUUAAUCUGUGUCAAAUGACCCCAAAACAACAAGCUCUGAAACAAGAACCUGAAAAUAGUUUUUCACUAAUGAACCUUACUAAAAAUACCAUUGAUAAAUCACAAGUAGGG